RNAcentral lists this transfer RNA (78 nucleotides) under Myxococcales bacterium. RNAcentral's name for it is "tRNA-Asp". It matches the Rfam family "tRNA". From Rfam's summary of the family: Transfer RNA (tRNA) molecules are approximately 80 nucleotides in length. Lineage: Bacteria; Pseudomonadati; Myxococcota; Myxococcia; Myxococcales. The record is from RNAcentral.
GGGGCCGCGGUCCAGUCAGGAGUGGACGCUUGCCUGUCACGCAGGAGAUCGCGGGUUCGAAUCCCGCCGGCCCCGCCA